AUCCUCCAAGGCUAAAUACUCCUGAUUGACCGAUAGUGAACCAGUACCGUGAGGGAAAGGCGAAAAGAACCCCGGCGAGGGGAGUGAAAAAGAACCUGAAACCGUGUACGUACAAGCAGUAGGAGCCCCAUCACUCAAGUGCCUCGCACUGAGUGAUGCAAGAACAUCACCGAAAAUAGCGCCGAAUUUGCUAACAAGGUUGGUCGAUUUUUUCAAGCCGUCGCGCAGUGUACCUAGAAGUACACGAGCAACGGAAGUUAAAAAAUCGGGCAAGAUUGAACGCAAAGGCAAGCGGGACAUUUGAGGAUGGGGUGACUGCGUACCUUUUGUAUAAUGGGUCAGCGACUUAUAUUCUGUAGCAAGGUUAACCGUAUAGGGGAGCCGUAGGGAAACCGAGUCUUAACUGGGCGAAUGAGUUGCAGGGUAUAGACCC
Molecule: ribosomal RNA, 433 nt
Filed under: Proteus mirabilis
Lineage: Bacteria; Pseudomonadati; Pseudomonadota; Gammaproteobacteria; Enterobacterales; Morganellaceae
Description: partial 23S ribosomal RNA
Rfam family: Bacterial large subunit ribosomal RNA
Source: RNAcentral